CAAUAAUGUUAAUUGAUUUAUUUCAUUUGUUUUAAACACUCGUCCUUAAAGACGAUAUAAUAUAAUAUACAACACAUUUCUAUAUUCAUAUAGCCUUUAUUCAAAUUUUCAAUUACAAACACCCAGGGUACAAAAAACAAGUCCAUUUAGCACCUCCACCCCUCCCGAACAAAUGCAACUUCUUCAUUUAAACAGAUGUUAAAGAAACUUGUAUAGGUGAAUAACAUACAUCAAAGAUCAAACAUUCAACAGCACACAGAUACAUUCACUCAAGCAUUCAAAUUUCAUUGUGAUGGGACUUCUCUGUAAUUAGUGGAAACAGGCGGCGAUAUCAUUUUAGUCAAUUCUUUCCUAUGAAAUAGUCAACUUUUCACAUAACCCUUACAGAAGAUUUACCGAUCAGAAUAUUUUAUUUGGUAACAGCUUAAGAAUAACCGUAGAAAAAUAGCAGGUACAACAGUGCUGUUUCAAUGGUCACUACAGUCAACACCACAUUCAACCUAAUUCUGCUUUUCUGUAAGCUUUAAUAACAUGAAUCACACAUAGAAAUGAAGCUGUAAUUUCAUGUAACCCAUCAAAUAGUUCAAUAGACUCACCGGCAAUGACACAAGCUUAAGCGGUGCAUUCAAAUCUUUAACAUUCCAUUAGAAACCCAUGGAGAGGUACAAUCUUCCCAAAAAUCCUGUUUCCAUCAUGUAAAAGUGGAUGAAAUAUUAGAACCAGAUUCUGGCCACUUGAAACAGAUUGAGGUAAAUAUAAUUAACUUUGUUAAUGUCCUUAGAAAAUAGCACAAACAAGGUAGAUUGUAAUCAGAAGAUUUCUGUGCAUUAAAGUUACAUAUUACAAUUCAAUUGCAAUAGCACUAAUAAUGAAAUAUGAACUGUAAUUUCUCAUCAACUGAAUGCAUGAAGUUCAUGUCAAUGAUUGCGUUUUGAUUUUACCCAGUUGUUUCAAUAGGCAAUACUCUCCAUAAAAAUAAAAAAAGGCAGAAAAGAAAAAAAACUCCCUCACAUCAUUCCAAAAAUAAAACGGACACACAGUGUCACACAACCCCCCACACACAAACACACGCGCGCACACACACACAAAUCACUGAUAACAGUUCAGUGGGGUACAUAGACAUGGCAAUGUCUCCUAAUGGCAGAUAGGCCAACUGCAAAAGUAUGAGUGCAUGUAUGCAUCAUUGAACGUGUGCUACUUUCUUUUAGGAGAUGAAAGCAGGACGUAAAUAACUUAUGGAGGAAGAAAGAUUGAAAACAAAACAAAAAAAAUAUUGCAAGUUAUCCGCUUUUCUACCGAUAGAUAAAUACCGAUAAAUGUGCACCCAAAUAUUCAAAUUUUAGAUGCAACAGACUGAGAUCGGUUAAAGAGCAAAGGCAUACUCAUUAAAUCAGGGUACGAGUGAAACAUCGCACAUAUAAAAAGCGUAGUGCGAUGUAUUAUCACACAUCGAAAUUAUACAAGUGUAAUUUCUAUGAGAAAGGGGAAUUUAAAGACUCACUAUGGCAUUUACUUCUAUGCGCUAGUACCUUGUGCACUGAACAUUUUAGAAAACUGUACAUCAAUGUACACUUGGCAGGCUAAUCUUUCACAUAACUCACACAUUUAUUCAAGCGCACAUCAAUCAGAUCGAGGAAAGUUUACACUAACAGCAGCAAUGUUACCUGCAGCCGCAGGUUUCCCUAGAUUCAAAGCCAGCGUGUCGGACGAGAUUACACAAAAAUACAUCGCUCUUCGGUCACUAAGUCCUCUAGCUGGCUCUUAUUGAUCGGCCACUGCUGGAGACCCAGCGGCC
Gasterosteus aculeatus aculeatus (three-spined stickleback) is the source of this 1795-nucleotide long non-coding RNA. The record is from Ensembl. Lineage: Eukaryota; Metazoa; Chordata; Actinopteri; Perciformes; Gasterosteidae.